CAUUUCGUAAACAUGCUCAGGAAAGAGCAGAAUCACAAAUCACUGACUGUCAAGCAGAGUUAAACAAAGUGCAGGAGCCAUACUAUUUUAAAUGAGGAGCACAAUUGAGAGACCAUCAGACUGGACGUUUGGAGUAAAUAAAAAUUCAUUUCUGUCUCCCAGUAUUUUCCAAUAGCAAGAUGGAAGCGGGGAAGGGAGGACAGUAUUUCAAGUAUCUAACAGUUGUAUAACAAAGGGUUGCUGGACUAGGAAUUUAUUCGUGGAGUACCUGCUCUGUGUGAGACAUUGCGUGUGAAAACAAGCAGUACGAGACAUCUCAUACUUUCCUAGAGCAUUUGUCUGGGAAGACAUGAUACAGACUUUGACAAAAAAAAAAAAAAAAAAAAAAAAAUCAAGAGUGGGCAGUUCUUUGUGUUGGAUACACAGACAAAAAGUACUACCCAAUGGCAGCGGAGUGUCCAUUGGAAUGCACAUCUAUCAGAGUAGCCCCGAAACCAAGCAAGUGAUCUUCCAAUAUGGCCUUUUGGAACUCUCUGAGAGCCCUGAGAUGUCAAGUAAGAAGUUUGUCUGA
RNAcentral lists this long non-coding RNA (571 nucleotides) under Callithrix jacchus (white-tufted-ear marmoset). Its description in RNAcentral is "lncRNA (ENSCJAG00000087314.1)". Lineage: Eukaryota; Metazoa; Chordata; Mammalia; Primates; Cebidae. The record is from RNAcentral.